GCAUAACGCGAAGAACCUUACCAAGGCUUGACAUGCAUCUCUAAGCACGUGAAAGCGUGUGACCCUUCGGGGAAUUUGCACAGGUGCUGCAUGGCCGUCGUCAGCUCGUGUCGUGAGAUGUUGGGUUAAGUCCCGCAACGAGCGCAACCCUUGUGACUAGUUGCCAGCACGUUAUGGUGGGAACUCUAGUCAGACUGCCCAGAUCAACUGGGAGGAAGGUGGGGACGACGUCAGGUCAGUAUGGCCCUUACGCCUAGGGCUGCACACGUACUACAAUGCCCAGCACAAUGAGAACCGAGACCGCGAGGUAGGGGAAAUCUAAAAAACUGGGCCCAGUUCGGAUUGGAGGCUGCAACUCGCCUCCAUGAAGUUGGAAUCGCUAGUAAUGGCGCAUCAUCUACGGCGCCGUGAAUACGUUCCCGGGUCUUGUACACACCG
RNAcentral lists this ribosomal RNA (438 nucleotides) under uncultured bacterium. RNAcentral's name for it is "bacterial SSU rRNA". It matches the Rfam family "Bacterial small subunit ribosomal RNA", at positions 954 to 1392 of the family's 1533-position model. The record is from RNAcentral.